GACGUAGGAGGCGAGCGUUGUCCGGAUUCAUUGGGCGUAAAGAGCACGCAGGCGGUUUGGCAAGUCGGAUGUGAAAGCCCGGAGCUCAACUCCGGACCUGCAUCCGAAACUGCCCGACUAGAGGUAGGUAGGGGAGAUCGGAAUUCCUGGUGUAGCGGUGAAAUGCGCAGAUAUCAGGAGGAACACCGGUGGCGAAGGCGGAUCUCUGGGCCUUACCUGACGCUCAGGUGCGAAAGCUAGGGGAGCGAACAGG
Molecule: ribosomal RNA, 253 nt
Filed under: uncultured bacterium
Lineage: Bacteria
Also listed under: 1 other name
Description: partial 16S ribosomal RNA
Rfam family: Bacterial small subunit ribosomal RNA
Source: RNAcentral